Molecule: long non-coding RNA, 628 nt
Organism: Malaclemys terrapin pileata
Lineage: Eukaryota; Metazoa; Chordata; Testudines; Emydidae
Exons: 3
Source: RefSeq, a predicted model, not a curated record
AGGCGUGUGCUGGGCUCGGGCGUGGGUCUGAGGCCCUGCGGGCUUCUCCUGGGGCGUGCAUGGAGCGCUAGACGGGCGGGUGUCUGCUGCUGUGCUGCUUUGUGGGUAGCGUCCAGCUCCAGGCGAAGGGGGCAGCAGAUCUGGAGCCCAGUCAGCAGCAGCCCUUGUUGGGGUCCCUUCUCUCAUUGCUCCAGCAGCAGAGCUGCCCCCAAGGGGUCUCUGGGCAGCGCGCGGUGGGCCUGUCCCCUGGGCACUCCCCCUCUGGGGCAUAUGAGGGGGAAGUUCAGUUACCCCAGUGGGCCAGCGACUCUUCAUGCUUGCCAGUAUGACUGUCCUUUAUUUUAUGGUAGUGCCUUGAGAUGCAAGCUCCGGGCUGGUCUGGGCUAGUCAUUGCGCAGAUUAUUUCUCCAGUUGUCCACAUCAUUUUGAAUUAUAAUCCUAUCCUCCAAAGCACUUGCAAUCCUUCCCAGAUAAGUCCCACAUCAUUUUGCCUGGAAAUUAGACUUUAUUAUCAAAAGCUUGUUGAUUUGCUCUAUAAGGCAUCAUCAAAAACGGUGAGUCUGCUUGGUUUGGUAAGACAUCACUUAAUUGUGUCCUCUUUCUUUUAUGUGUUGUUAAUCCUUAGAAC